This 253-nucleotide ribosomal RNA is filed under the name uncultured bacterium. RNAcentral describes it as "partial 16S ribosomal RNA". It matches the Rfam family "Bacterial small subunit ribosomal RNA", at positions 524 to 776 of the family's 1533-position model. The record is from RNAcentral.
UACGUAGGGCGCAAGCGUUAUCCGGAAUUAUUGGGCGUAAAGAGCUCGUAGGCGGUUUGUCGCGUCUGCCGUGAAAGUCCGGGGCUCAACUCCGGAUCUGCGGUGGGUACGGGCAGACUAGAGUGAUGUAGGGGAGACUGGAAUUCCUGGUGUAGCGGUGAAAUGCGCAGAUAUCAGGAAGAACACCCGUGGCGAAGGCGGCUCUCUGGGCCGAUACUGACGCUGAGGAGCGAAAGCGUGGGGAGCGAACAGG